Non-coding RNA from Myodes glareolus (Bank vole), 535 nucleotides. Lineage: Eukaryota; Metazoa; Chordata; Mammalia; Rodentia; Cricetidae. The record is from RefSeq and is a predicted model, not a curated record.
CAAUCUCAGAGGAAGCAAGAUGUGACUGCCCCGCCAAAAAAAGCCUAGGUAGCAAGCAUUAAGAGAACAUCCAUGAUUCCAUACAAAACAAGGACAGAAGCUGUGCUGAAGACCAGGAAAAAUCUUACAACCGUCCUAGACAUCAGCCCUCUGCAUGACCAGGAAAGGAGUCUAGUAGCCGGAAGCGGAGCCGGAAGCAAGGGAGAGAGAGCAGGGCUGAGUUUCUCUGACCUGCCUUAAGCUUGCGGUCUUACUACAUCAGCCUCCCAAGAGCUGUCCUUCAGUUUCCUCAGGCCUCAGGCCCAGAGCACACCAAGGACCACCAUGGGAAGACUUGGUGGAAAAAGCAUCCAGUUGGCAACUAGCCACGAUUGUGGUAACUUAGGUGCCUGGGAAUUAGGACAAUGAUCCAGCUUCUCCCUGCUUGUGUUUCUAUGAGGAAAAAACAAUCAGGUUCUCACCUUGAAAGUAAUGGAUGGCCUGUAAACUCUGUAAUUAGUUUAGGCAUCAAAUUUCUUAGCUGCUUAUGAAAAUA